This is a long non-coding RNA of Delphinapterus leucas (beluga whale), 1003 nucleotides long. RefSeq lists it as uncharacterized. Lineage: Eukaryota; Metazoa; Chordata; Mammalia; Artiodactyla; Monodontidae. The record is from RefSeq and is a predicted model, not a curated record.
CACAGACACCCCCUGCCUCUGCAGGAGACCUUCCAACACUAGCAGAAUCUAGGCCCUGGGGAUUCUCUUCAGGAGGCAGGAAGAUCAAGAAAUGAGACUUCUCCAUCAUCAUACAUGGAAUCCAAAGCAAUAUCAUGAAGGGGAAAAAAUCAUCGGUUUGAGAGUUAAGACAAUUCAGAUUUAGAUAUGGCUCCACUAUUAAAAGCUGUGUAACAUUGGGAAAGUCAUCUAAUUUUCUUAAGUUUUGGUUUCCAAAUCUAGAAAAUGGAAAAAUAGUAUUAAUCUUAUAGGACUGUUAUAAAGAUUAAAUAAGAUAGCACAUAUGCAAGUACCCAGCACUGUCUUGUGUGAAACAGACUCUCAAUAAAUGUUAGCCUCUCUUCCUACCCUGUUACACACAUCCUGUCCCCUGACACUUCAAAAGGAGUUCUCCUGAACACUUUAACUACAGCUCUGUUUUCUUCAGAACAGGCACUUGGCUCUUAAUAGUGACAAACAGUCACGUGAAAGACUCCUGGGACCUAACAUUGUCCUGGUGAAACAAAAAAGAGCUCACAUUGGGAAACAGCACCAACUGCUUCAGGCUAUGACAAGCCCCAAGUACAGUGUUACUUAACAUCCUGAGAGCUCUGUGCUCUUUCAACAUACUUUUUUUCUCCCUGCAAGGAUCAGGCACACUAUUUGCCCUCUCUUCCCUUCUUAAUAGAAGUCUUUAUUAAACAAGACCACCCAAUGGAUUCAAAUAUUAGGAAUUAGAAAAGGCUAGGCUCAACCAUGAAGAAACUGGCAAAGUCUCAGUACUAAACAGUAAGCCCUUCUUAACCUUUCAGAAUCUGGAUUUUUGUGCUUUCUGUUCUUGGAAAUAGCAGAUUUGCUGAUGCUCUGUUACAAACAUGUCUGUGUAUUUCCCUCGCCUGCAUUAUCACAAAACUCUUACCAUGCACAAGACCUCUUGCUGAAGUCCGGAAUCUUAGACUCUGCUUGUAAUCCAAUAAAGCAAUGC